Molecule: ribosomal RNA, 389 nt
Filed under: uncultured bacterium
Lineage: Bacteria
Description: bacterial SSU rRNA
Rfam family: Bacterial small subunit ribosomal RNA
Source: RNAcentral
GCUCAGAUUGAACGCUGGCGGUAUGCUUAAGACAUGCAAGUCGUGCGGUAGAAGGCUACGGCCUUUGAGAGCGGCGGACGGGUGAGUUACACGUGGGAAUCUGCCUAUUAGUGGGGGACAGCCCAGCGAAAGCUGGAUUAAUACCGCAUACGCCCUACGGGGGAAAGCAGCAAUGCGCUAAUAGAUGAGCCCGCGUAAGAUUAGCUAGUUGGUAAGGUAAAGGCUUACCAAGGCGACUGAUCUUUAGCUGGUCUGAGAGGAUGGCCAGCCACAUCGGGACUGAGACACGGCCAGGACUCCUACGGGAGGCAGCUGUCGGGAAUAUUGGACAAUGGGCGCAAGCCUGAUCCAGCAAUACCGCGUGUGUGAAGAAGGCCUGCGGGUAGUGA